This 181-nucleotide ribosomal RNA is filed under the name uncultured bacterium. RNAcentral's name for it is "partial 16S ribosomal RNA". It matches the Rfam family "Bacterial small subunit ribosomal RNA", at positions 1320 to 1500 of the family's 1533-position model. The record is from RNAcentral.
AUGAAGCCGGAAUUGCUAGUAAUGGCAGGUCAGCAUACUGCCGUGAAUACGUUCCCGGGCCUUGUACACACCGCCCGUCAAACCAUGAGAGUUGGCAACACCCGAAGUCGGUAGUCUAACCGCAAGGAGGACGCCGCCGAAGGUGGGGUUGAUGAUUAGGGUUAAGUCGUAACAAGGUAAC